Non-coding RNA from Gorilla gorilla gorilla (western lowland gorilla), 519 nucleotides. NCBI's taxonomy places the organism in Eukaryota, Metazoa, Chordata, Mammalia, Primates, Hominidae. The record is from the annotation of a RefSeq genome assembly.
AUGGCCUGGACCCCUCUCCUCCUCGGCCUCCUCGCUCACUGCACAGGCUCUGCGACCUCCUAUGAGCUGACUCAGCCACACUCAGUGUCAGUGGCCACAGCACAGACGGCCAGGAUCACCUGUGGGGGAAACAACAUUGGAAGUAAAGCUGUGCACUGGUACCAGCAAAAGCCAGGCCAGGACCCUGUGCUGGUCAUCUAUAGCGAUAGCAACCGGCCCUCAGGGAUCCCUGAGCGAUUCUCUGGCUCCAACUCAGGGAACACCGCCACCCUGACCAUCAGCAGGAUCGAGGCCGGGGAUGAAGCCGACUAUUACUGUCAGGUGUGGGACAGCAGUAGUGAUCAAUACUAUGUAGGUACUGACAGCACCAUCUGCAAUGUGAUUGAUCUGCUGGAGGAACGGACUGACAUGAUCCCUCUUUCCACAAUAAACCAGAGACGCCUCUUGCAGGCAGGCAAACAACCCCAGGAGGAGCAGCAGCAGGCCCUUCAGCCGCAGGGCUGCAGCUCUGCCGAAUGA